CUGCUUUAGUUGGGUCUGGGGGGUCUCUCUGGAGAGUGGCUGUAAAUGCUAGCCUUUGUGCUGGACAGCAAAGCAAAUCAUCGGAAAUAACCCAGGAGCCUGGCAGGGAAACCGCUGCACUAUGGAGAGGACGCUUCCAGAUACAGAGGACAAAUCAAGUGAAGGGACGGAGCAGGUCACACCCAGAGUGGCACAGAGGUCCUUGGACAUUGGAUUCAGGACCCACCUUACUCCAGCAUGACUUCAUCAUCACUUAAUUACAUCUGCAAGAACGGUGUUUCCAAAUAAGGUGACAUUCUUAGGUACUGGGGGUGAGUAUGUGUCUUUUCUUCAACUUAUCUUUUUGGUGGAAUGCAAUUCAACCCAGAGCACCACCUCUCACGAAAACGGCUAAAAAUGGUCGGGGAGGCAUUUUCAAGAACUUUCACUAACAAAUUUUAAAGAAUGGAUUUCACUGUAAGCCUUGGGCAGCCACUGAAGAAUGUGUUGGAAUAGCUGCUGAGUGUCGGCCACUACUGGGUGACGUUUCCUUAACGGCUGGAAGAGUGAAGGAAUUAGGGCCGAGCGUGUAUGCCCAAAAACUUCUUCUGUUUUGACUGUGUGGGCUUCUUCCAUUCAUUUGUUCAUUUAGCAAACAUGUAUUGCCUUCUGUUGUCUUCUACGAUCUAUGAAAGGUAAAAUGUGGUGUGAGGACACGGCCCAGCCCCACCAUCGUCUUCCAGUCCCACCGUCGUCUUCCAGUCCCACCAUCGUCUUCCAGUCCCACCGUCGUCUUCCAGCCCCACCGUCGUCUUCCAGUCCCACCGUUGUCUUCUAGCCCCACCAUCGUCGUCUUGGACUCUCUGGGUGGCACCAUGUUGUGGGUGCUGCUCUCCUCUGUGUCCCAAACGAGUUUGUGCCUCACUUUGUCAGGUUUUGGCUGUGACUUGGAGCCUCACCAAGCUCCCUUUUCCUCUGUCUCCCAUUCUCCUCUCCAGGCCAGGGUGGCUUCCCCAGCCCUCCUCCCCGGGUCCUGCCUGUGCCGAGCCUUCCUCCCAGGAGGGAGGUGAUACUGACUUGAGAUCUUAUGGGUGUUUUGUUUGUGGCUGGGCCUGGCCGACCCUCUCUCCACGGCCUUAGAUCACACUCUGGAUGGACAGGACAGUCGUCCUCAAUACUGAGCCUCUUUGGAACAUACCCACUGAUGGUGGUUCACAAGCUACCCAUGCCCACAGGCUGACCCAGAUCUCUGUGAAAUUAAAAAAUACUGUGAAAGGCAAAAGAGCCAAUGUCAUGUGGAUAAUGAAGUGUCAGCCACUGAAAAAUCUCAAAAUAAUAAACAUGGCGUGUUUGUCAGGGUUCUCUAGAGAAACAGCAGCAACUGUGUGUGUGUGUGUGUGUGUGUGUGCAGAGAGAAAGAAGGAGGGAGGAAGACUUAUUCUAAGGAAUCAGCUCAUGCAAUUGUGCAGCCUGGCAUGUCCACAGUCUGUAGGAUGGGCUGGCAUGCUGGAGACCCAGGAAAGAGCUGCAGUUUGAAUAGGAAGGCCAUGGGCGGGAGAGUUCCUUCCUGUUCAGGGGACCUCAGUCUUUCUCUAGAAGACCUUUGGCUGACUGGAUGAGGCUCAUCCACACUAUGGACACAAAUCAGCUUUACUCAGAGUCUACUGAUUUAAACGUUAAUCUCAUCUGCAAAAAGUACCUUCACAAAAACAUCUAGAACAACGUUUGACCAAAUAUCUGGGUACUGUGGCUUAGCCAGGCUGAUACAUCAAAUUAACCCUCACCUUAUGCUUCAUCUACUUUUUAAUUUGAUUUUACUUUGAAAACAAGUAAGGUUUUUGUAAGCCUCCAAGUUGAGAUUAACGAUGUGAGAAGGAGAAUCCAUAAACUUUCCUGUUGAACAAAUAGCAGAUGGAUUUUUUCAGGAGGUGGGGACCACAUAGGGCUGGCCUGCUCUGACGUGGCAGCCGCAGAGGGGUGGCAUUAGCAGACAGUCUCAUGUCCUCAGCCCUGCCGACGUCCAGAUCACUGUGGAGUGUAGCUAUUACUCAUGCCUUUUUCUUUGAUCUUUGUCUUUUUCCUUAUUUUUUUUCCUUGCUGAAGAUAAAAAUAAAAUGGAAGUAAUGAUAAAACCACA
Gorilla gorilla gorilla (western lowland gorilla) is the source of this 2116-nucleotide long non-coding RNA. RefSeq lists it as uncharacterized. The transcript is spliced from 2 exons. The record is from RefSeq and is a predicted model, not a curated record. NCBI's taxonomy places the organism in Eukaryota, Metazoa, Chordata, Mammalia, Primates, Hominidae.